RNAcentral lists this non-coding RNA (88 nucleotides) under Phytopseudomonas punonensis. The record is from RNAcentral. Lineage: Bacteria; Pseudomonadati; Pseudomonadota; Gammaproteobacteria; Pseudomonadales; Pseudomonadaceae.
CUUUAUGGCGGGCCGUGCGUGGGAGGGCUUCGGCCCUGCCGGGAUCCCUGACCCCGGUCGACCAACCUGCGUACGGUUCGCCUCCCUC